CCUACGGGUGGCAGCAGUGAGGAAUAUUCGUCAAUGGGGGAAACCCUGAACGAGCAACGCCGCGUGGAGGAUGAAGGCCUUCGGGUCGUAAACUUCUUUUAGGGGAGACGAGAAAGGACGGUAUCCCCGGAAUCAGUCACGGCUAACUACGUGCCAGCAGCCGCGGUAAUACGUAGGUGACGAGCGUUAUCCGGAUUUACUGGGCGUAAAGCGCUUGUAGGUGGUGCCGUAAGUUGGGCGUGAAAUCUCCGGGCUUAACCCGGAGAGGCCGUCCAAUACUGCGGUGCUGGAGGACGUCAGAGGAAGGUGGAAUUCCUGGUGUAGUAGUGAAAUGCGUAGAUAUCAGGAGGAACACCCGUGGCGAAGGCGACCUUCUGGGACGUUACUGACACUGAGAAGCGAAAGCCGGGGGAGCAAACAGGAUUAGAUACCCUUGUAGUC
RNAcentral lists this ribosomal RNA (441 nucleotides) under uncultured bacterium. RNAcentral describes it as "bacterial SSU rRNA". It matches the Rfam family "Bacterial small subunit ribosomal RNA", at positions 338 to 795 of the family's 1533-position model. The record is from RNAcentral.